CCUACGGGAGGCUGCAGUGGGGAAUAUUGCACAAUGGGGGAAACCCUGAUGCAGCGACGCCGCGUGAGUGAAGAAGUAUUUCGGUAUGUAAAGCUCUAUCAGCAGGGAAGAAGAAAGACGGUACCUGACUAAGAAGCCCCGGCUAACUACGUGCCAGCAGCCGCGGUAAUACGUAGGGGGGAAGCGUUAUCCGGGUUUACUGGGGUUAAAGGGAGCGUAGACGGCUGUUCAAGUCUGAAGUGAAAGCCCAGGGGCCAACCCUGGGCCGGCGUUGGAAACUGUGGAGCUAGAGUGGGGGAGAGGUAAGUGGAAUUCGUAGUGUAGCGGUGAAAUGCGUAGAUAUUAGGAGGAACACCAGUGGCGAAGGCAGCUUACUGGACAGUAACUGACGUUGAGGCUCGAAAGCGUGGGGAGCAAACAGGAUUAGAUACCCCAGUAGUC
RNAcentral lists this ribosomal RNA (441 nucleotides) under uncultured bacterium. RNAcentral's name for it is "partial 16S ribosomal RNA". It matches the Rfam family "Bacterial small subunit ribosomal RNA", at positions 338 to 795 of the family's 1533-position model. The record is from RNAcentral.